UUACUUACCUGGACGGGGUCAUCUCUUGAUCAAGAAGACGAGUGGCCUAGGCUAGUGACCUCCAUUGCACUAAGGAGGGGUGCUUAGUAUAAGGUCUCCCCAAGUGGGAGAGCCUGCGUCAUCAUUUGCAGCAGAGGGAUCCUGCGUUUGCGCGGCUUCUAC
Molecule: small nuclear RNA, 162 nt
Filed under: Brassica oleracea var. oleracea
Lineage: Eukaryota; Viridiplantae; Streptophyta; Magnoliopsida; Brassicales; Brassicaceae
Description: snRNA U1
Rfam family: U1 spliceosomal RNA
About the family: U1 is a small nuclear RNA (snRNA) component of the spliceosome (involved in pre-mRNA splicing). Its 5' end forms complementary base pairs with the 5' splice junction, thus defining the 5' donor site of an intron.
Source: Rfam by way of RNAcentral